RNAcentral lists this ribosomal RNA (313 nucleotides) under uncultured delta proteobacterium. RNAcentral describes it as "bacterial SSU rRNA". It matches the Rfam family "Bacterial small subunit ribosomal RNA", at positions 536 to 847 of the family's 1533-position model. The record is from RNAcentral. Lineage: Bacteria; Deltaproteobacteria.
AAGCGUUGUUCGGAUUUAUUGGGCGUAAAGCGCGUGUAGGCGGUUUCUUAAGUCUGAUGUGAAAGCCCUGGGCUCAACCCAGGAAGUGCAUUGGAUACUGGGAAACUUGAAUACGGGAGAGGGUAGUGGAAUUCCUAGUGUAGGAGUGAAAUCCGUAGAUAUUAGGAGGAACACCGGUGGCGAAGGCGGCUACCUGGACCGAUAUUGACGCUGAGACGCGAAAGCGUGGGGAGCAAACAGGAUUAGAUACCCUGGUAGUCCACGCCGUAAACGAUGAGAACUAGGUGUUGCGGGUAUUGACCCCUGCAGUGCC